This 1343-nucleotide ribosomal RNA is filed under the name uncultured bacterium. RNAcentral's name for it is "16S ribosomal RNA". It matches the Rfam family "Bacterial small subunit ribosomal RNA", at positions 28 to 1378 of the family's 1533-position model. The record is from RNAcentral.
GACGAACGCUGGCGGCGUGCUUAACACAUGCAAGUCGAACGGAAAGGCCCUGCUUUUGUGGGGUGCUCGAGUGGCGAACGGGUGAGUAACACGUGAGUAACCUGCCCUUGACUUUGGGAUAACUUCAGGAAACUGGGGCUAAUACCGGAUAGGAGCUCCUGCUGCAUGGUGGGGGUUGGAAAGUUUCGGCGGUUGGGGAUGGACUCGCGGCUUAUCAGCUUGUUGGUGGGGUAGUGGCUUACCAAGGCUUUGACGGGUAGCCGGCCUGAGAGGGUGACCGGCCACAUUGGGACUGAGAUACGGCCCAGACUCCUACGGGAGGCAGCAGUGGGGAAUAUUGCACAAUGGGCGGAAGCCUGAUGCAGCAACGCCGCGUGCGGGAUGACGGCCUUCGGGUUGUAAACCGCUUUCGCCUGUGACGAAGCGUGAGUGACGGUAAUGGGUAAAGAAGCACCGGCUAACUACGUGCCAGCAGCCGCGGUGAUACGUAGGGUGCGAGCGUUGUCCGGAUUUAUUGGGCGUAAAGGGCUCGCAGGUGGUUGAUCGCGUCGGAAGUGUAAUCUUGGGGCUUAACCCUGAGCGUGCUUUCGAUACGGGUUGACUUGAGGAAGGUAGGGGAGAAUGGAAUUCCUGGUGGAGCGGUGGAAUGCGCAGAUAUCAGGAGGAACACCAGUGGCGAAGGCGGUUCUCUGGGCCUUUCCUGACGCUGAGGAGCGAAAGCGUGGGGAGCGAACAGGCUUAGAUACCCUGGUAGUCCACGCUGUAAACGGUGGGUACUAGGUGUGGGGUCCAUUCCACGGGUUCCGUGCCGUAGCUAACGCUUUAAGUACCCCGCCUGGGGAGUACGGCCGCAAGGCUAAAACUCAAAGGAAUUGACGGGGCCCCGCACAAGCGGCGGAGCAUGCGGAUUAAUUCGAUGCAACGCGUAGAACCUUACCUGGGUUUGACAUGGAUCGGGAGCGCUCAGAGAUGGGUGUGCCUCUUUUGGGGUCGGUUCACAGGUGGUGCAUGGCUGUCGUCAGCUCGUGUCGUGAGAUGUUGGGUUAAGUCCCGCAACGAGCGCAACCCUUGUUCACUGUUGCCAGCACGUUAUGGUGGGGACUCAGUGGAGACCGCCGGGGUCAACUCGGAGGAAGGUGGGGAUGACGUCAAGUCAUCAUGCCCCUUAUGUCCAGGGCUUCACGCAUGCUACAAUGGCUGGUACAGAGAGUGGCGAGCCUGUGAGGGUGAGCGAAUCUCGGAAAGCCGGUCUCAGUUCGGAUUGGGGUCUGCAACUCGACCUCAUGAAGUCGGAGUCGCUAGUAAUCGCAGAUCAGCAACGCUGCGGUGAAUACGUUCCCGGG